Molecule: long non-coding RNA, 1740 nt
Organism: Gallus gallus (chicken)
Lineage: Eukaryota; Metazoa; Chordata; Aves; Galliformes; Phasianidae
Exons: 5
Source: RefSeq, a predicted model, not a curated record
UGCUCCAUAAUCUUCCCCGGCACCGAGGUCAGGCUAACAGGUCUGUAGUUCCCCGGAUCCUCCCUGCAGCCCUUCUUGUAGAUGGGAGUCACAUUGGCAAGCCUCCAGUCUUCUGGGACCUCACCCGUCAACAAGGAGCGCUGAUAGAUGAUGAAGGAGCUCUGUGUCCUUGCAGUGGCAGGGCUGUAAGCAGGUAUCACGGUGGAGCUGUCACAGCAUGGGCAAGUACAGGAGAAGGAAGGAGAAGUGAAUGCCUAUGACAGGGAGCCUGGUUGCUUUUGACAAGAAGGAAAACAUAGAUCUCCCAAUUAACAGUGCAGUUGAAGAACGAUUACCCAGAAUGUCUGCCAUAGCCUUGCAUAAUAUUCACAGCAUCACAUAAUGGCAGAAGUGGAAAGGGACACGUGGAUCCAUCUGGCCCAACUCCUGUUCAAGCAGAGGCAUCCAGGAGUCCAUACGCCCAAGCCUCUGUUACUGAUGCCUUGAUGUCCUGAUGUGUCGACAGCACAUGGGUGACAAAAUGUGGUUAAAACAAAGUAAUGGGUACAUAUUUAAUACUGCAUAUUGUUGUUCCAGGUAUCACCUAAAAUCUUCCUGCAUAUAAAUGACUCUUUUUCAGAAAUGCAAAUGGAUUGAAUCUUACAGCUGUACUGAGGCAGCUCCAGGCUUGGCAACUAAAUUAAGUUACACAAAUGCAAAUAAGCAGUGAAUGACAUCCAGCAGAUCUGACUGACCUCAUUUUCUCAUCUGCAUGACCACGAAGUGAAAGCAACCUACAGAAAUUACUAGAUUUAUGGUUGGGAAAAAAAACACAGUGCAGGUAAACAACAGAUGUGACUCAGCUGGAAAACCCACUUUUAAGUUCCUGCAUAUAUUCUUGACGAUUUUCACAAUACAACUGGAUGGUGAGUGCCUCAGGUACUGGGGCAGUGACAUUGCAAUUAAAAUGUCUCACUAUGGUCCCUAUGACAGAAAUUUGAACUUCAAACAAUGUUUGCCCUAAGGCGGUCCCCAGGAGGGCUGGCUGCCAAAGGAUGUCUGCUCAAUGUGGUGAGGGGAUACACAGCAACCUUAUCCUACUAAACAUUCGGGUAUGGACCCUUACCAUGCUGUGCUGCAUUCCUCAGCAUGGAAGAAGCUUUGACCUCCAUGAGAAAUGGGAGGAACCUGGGAUCUGCAUAAAACCAUAGGAAUGGCUAGCAGAAAAACAGGUGUUCUGUUACUGCUAUUUAAGCUUUUCAUGAAGCAAACACUGUAUGAGAGGGCUUUAACCUUGUACAACUCACACAGCCUUUAAUUGGAGCACAGUGGGAAAGGCACCUGCCUGCAGCACCUGUCUGUCUUGUCCAUAAGCACCUCCCUCAUAUCAGAACAGUUUCAGUUGUCUCCUAGAAGUGUAUCAUUUUGUUGAGCGAUAAAUGGAACUGUGAAAUAUUGCCUGUAAUCAGCACCCUUUAUGGCAAAGCUCAUUAAAUUCCUGACAAGUCUAGAGUUGACAGCACUUUAAUUUUGCUUUAUUGCCUCAUUUUAUCUCACCAAUUUCUUUCCCUGAUUUACUGUUAAUAAUGAAAGACAGCAGAAAUGCACUGUGUUUGAGAAUCAAAAAAAUAAGUAUUCAUCCUUUUUAAAAAUCCCUGAUUUAGGCCAUAGGAACAGUGAGUAGUAGACAAUGCAAGCAUUGAGAAGGUGAUUAAACUUUAAUAAAACUGUCAACUGAAAUAAACCAAUCUCCUUACAAAA